GGGUCUUUAGCAAAGUGGAUAAUGCGUCCGACUUCUAAUCGGAAGGUCGGGAGUUCGAUCCUCCCAAGACUCA
This is a transfer RNA of Bathycoccus prasinos, 73 nucleotides long. It matches the Rfam family "tRNA". Rfam says of the family: Transfer RNA (tRNA) molecules are approximately 80 nucleotides in length. Their secondary structure includes four short double-helical elements and three loops (D, anti-codon, and T loops). Lineage: Eukaryota; Viridiplantae; Chlorophyta; Mamiellophyceae; Mamiellales; Bathycoccaceae. The record is from Rfam.